This 457-nucleotide ribosomal RNA is filed under the name uncultured bacterium. RNAcentral describes it as "bacterial SSU rRNA". It matches the Rfam family "Bacterial small subunit ribosomal RNA", at positions 340 to 789 of the family's 1533-position model. The record is from RNAcentral.
UACGGGAGGCAGCAGUGGGGAAUAUUGCACAAUGGGCGCAAGCCUGAUGCAGCCACGCCGCGUGUAUGAAGAAGGCCUUCGGGUUGUAAAGUACUUUCAGUCGUGAGGAAGGUGUUAAGGUUAAUAACCUUAGCAAUUGACGUUAGCGACAGAAGAAGCACCGGCUAACUCCGUGCCAGCAGCCGCGGUAAUACGGAGGGUGCGAGCGUUAAUCGGAAUUACUGGGCGUAAAGGGCACGCAGGCGGUUAAUUAAGUUGGAUGUGAAAUCCCCGGGCUUAACCUGGGAAUGGCAUUCAAGACUGGUUAGCUAGAGUCUUGUAGAGGGGGUAGAAUUCCGAUGUGUAGCGGUGAAAUGCGUAGAGAUGUGGAGGAAUACCGGUGGCGAAGGCGGCCCCUGGACAAAGACUGACGCUCAUGUGCGAAAGCGUGGGGAGCAAACAGGGAUUAGAUACCCGU